Molecule: ribosomal RNA, 465 nt
Filed under: Vreelandella stevensii
Lineage: Bacteria; Pseudomonadati; Pseudomonadota; Gammaproteobacteria; Oceanospirillales; Halomonadaceae
Description: partial 16S ribosomal RNA
Rfam family: Bacterial small subunit ribosomal RNA
Source: RNAcentral
CCUACGGGGGGCAGCAGUGGGGAAUAUUGGACAAUGGGGGCAACCCUGAUCCAGCCAUGCCGCGUGUGUGAAGAAGGCCCUCGGGUUGUAAAGCACUUUCAGUGAGGAAGAACGCCUGGUGGUUAAUACCCAUCAGGAAAGACAUCACUCACAGAAGAAGCACCGGCUAACUCCGUGCCAGCAGCCGCGGUAAUACGGAGGGUGCGAGCGUUAAUCGGAAUUACUGGGCGUAAAGCGCGCGUAGGUGGCUUGAUAAGCCGGUUGUGAAAGCCCCGGGCUCAACCUGGGAACGGCAUCCGGAACUGUCAAGCUCGAGUGCAGGAGAGGAAGGUAGAAUUCCCUGUGUAGCGGUGAAAUGCGUAGAGAUCGGGAGGAAUACCAGUGGCGAAGGCGGCCUUCUGGACUGACACUGACACUGAGGUGCGAAAGCGUGGGUAGCAAACAGGAUUAGAUACCCGGGUAGUC